CGUGUAGGCGGGGAUGUAAGUCAGAUGUGAAAUACCCGGGCUUAACUUGGGAACUGCAUCUGAAACUAUAUUUCUUGAGUGUCGGAGAGGAAAGUGGAAUUCCCAGUGUAGCGGUGAAAUGCGUAGAUAUUGGGAGGAACACCAGUGGCGAAGGCGACUUUCUGGACGAUAACUGACGCUGAGGCGCGAAAGCGUGGGGAGCAAACAGGAUUAGAUACCCUGGUAGUCCACGCUGUAAACGAUGGAUACUAGGUGUAGGAGGUAUCGACCCCUUCUGUGCCGGAGUUAACACAAUAAGUAUCCCACCUGGGGAGUACGGCCGCAAGGUUGAA
Molecule: ribosomal RNA, 332 nt
Filed under: uncultured bacterium
Lineage: Bacteria
Description: bacterial SSU rRNA
Rfam family: Bacterial small subunit ribosomal RNA
Source: RNAcentral